Ornithorhynchus anatinus (platypus) is the source of this 426-nucleotide long non-coding RNA. RefSeq lists it as uncharacterized. NCBI's taxonomy places the organism in Eukaryota, Metazoa, Chordata, Mammalia, Monotremata, Ornithorhynchidae. The record is from RefSeq and is a predicted model, not a curated record. The transcript has 3 exons.
GCUGGGAGUCCAGUUUGUUCCAGUUCUUAGUGUGGGGUUUCGCUCUGCAAUUUGGGGAGGUUCUCCAUUCGGGAAUAAAGGAGCAUUCCUCCCAUACUGCACUCCUCUCUGGAUAGAACACAGUGAGACAUCAGAAGAAAUAGCCCCUAACGGACUCUACUUGGUAACGCCAAAGAAGAUGUGAGCAAUAAUCGUGACUGGAAACUCCACACAGGACAUCGUAUCUCGCGCUCUCCGGCAGCCACUGUCAAAAGAGGUCCAUCGAACCACCACCCACCAUCCGUCAAUCAAUCGGUCAGGGAUCUGUCUUUACCGAGCACCGCGGUAGAAGAUAAUCAGGAUACCUACGAAACAGAGGAUGGCGAACAAGAGCAGCGGGGCAGCGGAGAGAAGGAGCAGCCAUCGCCAUCCCAGGCUGGGCAUCAC